GCACGGCGAUGUAGAUCCUCCCGUGCCGUCCACCAGAGGCAGCACCGUACUCCUCGCGAGCACAGACCAGCAGCGGUCGGACAGGAGCCACAAGGCAGCAGUGGAAGGUGAGUCGAUGUCGGCAUGUCCCACAUUGACAGCUUAUAGCCCUGCUGUCUGGUGCCCCAGCCUGACCGAGGAAUCAGGGUAGUCUUUGCCCGUUUUGGUGCACGCCAUAUGGCGGGGCCUCCCGAUGGGAGUGAACCGUGCAGUGUGGACUGCGUGCAGUGUUCACCGCAGCGGCGAUCCCCUGUGGGUGAGUGCCACCUGUGUGCCAGUGCUGCUGGCAUUUAGAC
RNAcentral lists this unclassified non-coding RNA (335 nucleotides) under Cacospongia mycofijiensis. Its description in RNAcentral is "sequence contains 28S rRNA gene". The record is from RNAcentral. Lineage: Eukaryota; Metazoa; Porifera; Demospongiae; Dictyoceratida; Thorectidae.